UCCCUGAUAGUCUAGUGGCUAAGACUCCAUGCUUCCAAAACGGGGGGCACAGGUUCGAUCCUUAGUUGGGGAA
Molecule: transfer RNA, 73 nt
Filed under: Bos taurus (domestic cattle)
Lineage: Eukaryota; Metazoa; Chordata; Mammalia; Artiodactyla; Bovidae
Also listed under: 1 other name
Rfam family: tRNA
About the family: Transfer RNA (tRNA) molecules are approximately 80 nucleotides in length.
Source: Rfam by way of RNAcentral